Molecule: ribosomal RNA, 522 nt
Filed under: uncultured bacterium
Lineage: Bacteria
Description: bacterial SSU rRNA
Rfam family: Bacterial small subunit ribosomal RNA
Source: RNAcentral
ACCCAAUAGAUACCCCGGUAGUCCUGGCCCUAAACGAUGUCCACUAGAUCGUGGCGGUUCUAACGCCGUCAUGGUCGAAAGCAAAAAAGUGCUAAGUGGACCGCCUGGGAAGUACGGUCGCAAGGCUAAAACUCAAAGGAAUUGACGGGGGCUCACACAAGCGGUGGAGCAUGUGGUUCAAUUCGAAGCAACGCGCAGAACCUUACCUGGGCUUGACAUGCCAGGAUUAUCCCUAUGAAAGUAGGGUAGGCCCUUCGGGGUACAACUGGUACAGGUGCUGCAUGGCUGUCGUCAGCUCGUGUCGUGAGAUGUCGGGUUAAGUCCCUUAACGAGCGAAACCUUUGCCCUUAGUUACCAGCGGGUUAUGCCGGGGACUCUAAGGGGACUGCCGGUGUCAAACCGGAGGAAGGUGGAGAUGACGUCAAGUCCUCAUGGCCUUUAUGCCCAGGGCCACACACGUGCUACAAUGGCGUCCACAGAGCGAACCGAGAGCGCAAGCUGGAGGAAAUCGCAUAAAUGACG